RNAcentral lists this ribosomal RNA (468 nucleotides) under uncultured bacterium. RNAcentral's name for it is "partial 16S ribosomal RNA". It matches the Rfam family "Bacterial small subunit ribosomal RNA", at positions 28 to 507 of the family's 1533-position model. The record is from RNAcentral.
GACGAACGCUGGCGGCGUGCUUAACACAUGCAAGUCGAACGGAAAGGCCCUGCUUUUGUGGGGUGCUCGAGUGGCGAACGGGUGAGUAACACGUGAGUAACCUUCCCUUGACUUUGGGAUAACUUCAGGAAACUGGGGCUAAUACCGGAUAGGAGCUCCUGCUGCAUCGUGGGGGUUGGACCGUUUCGGCGGUUGGGGAUGGACUCGCGGCUUAUCAGCUCGUUGGUGGGGUACUGGCUUACCAAGGCUUUGACGGGUAGCCGGCCUGAGUGGGUGACCGGCCCCAUUGGGGCUGCGGUGCGGCCCAAGCUCCUCCGGGAGGGAGGAGGGGGGGAUAAUGGAACAUGGGCGGGAGCCUGAUGCAGCAACGCCGCGUGCGGGAUGACGGGCUUCGGGUUGGAAACCGCUUUCCCCCGUGAAGGAACGGGGGUGACGGUAAUGGGUAAAGGAAGCCCGGCUAACUUCGUG